UGCAAGUCGAGCGGUAACGGGUCCAGCUUGCUGGAUGCCGACGAGCGGCGGACGGGUGAGUAAUGCAUAGGAAUCUGCCCGAUAGUGGGGGAUAACCUGGGGAAACCCAGGCUAAUACCGCAUACGUCCUACGGGAGAAAGCGGGGGCUCUUCGGACCUCGCGCUAUCGGAUGAGCCUAUGUCGGAUUAGCUAGUUGGUGAGGUAACGGCUCACCAAGGCGACGAUCCGUAGCUGGUCUGAGAGGAUGAUCAGCCACACCGGGACUGAGACACGGCCCGGACUCCUACGGGAGGCAGCAGUGGGGAAUAUUGGACAAUGGGCGCAAGCCUGAUCCAGCCAUGCCGCGUGUGUGAAGAAGGCUUUCGGGUUGUAAAGCACUUUCAGUGGGGAAGAAGGCCUGGCGGCCAAUACCCGCCAGGGACGACAUCACCCACAGAAGAAGCACCGGCUAACUCCGUGCCAGCAGCCGCGGUAAUACGGAGGGUGCGAGCGUUAAUCGGAAUUACUGGGCGUAAAGCGCGCGUAGGCGGCUAAGUAAGCCGGUUGUGAAAGCCCCGGGCUCAACCUGGGAAUGGCAUCCGGAACUGUUUAGCUAGAGUGCAGGAGAGGAAGGUAGAAUUCCCGGUGUAGCGGUGAAAUGCGUAGAGAUCGGGAGGAAUACCAGUGGCGAAGGCGGCCUUCUGGACUGACACUGACGCUGAGGUGCGAAAGCAUGGGUAGCAAACAGGAUUAGAUACCCUGGUAGUCCAUGCCGUAACGAUGUCGACUAGCCGUUGGGUCCCUUGAGGACUUAGUGGCGCAGUUAACGCGAUAAGUCGACCGCCUGGGGAGUACGGCCGCAAGGUUAAAACUCAAAUGAAUUGACGGGGGCCCGCACAAGCGGUGGAGCAUGUGGUUUAAUUCGAUGCAACGCGAAGAACCUUACCUACCCUUGACAUCCUGCGAACCCUCCGGAGACGGAGGGGUGCCUUCGGGAGCGCAGAGACAGGUGCUGCAUGGCUGUCGUCAGCUCGUGUUGUGAAAUGUUGGGUUAAGUCCCGUAACGAGCGCAACCCUUGUCCCUAUUUGCCAGCGAUUCGGUCGGGAACUCUAGGGAGACUGCCGGUGACAAACCGGAGGAAGGUGGGGACGACGUCAAGUCAUCAUGGCCCUUACGGGUAGGGCUACACACGUGCUACAAUGGCCGGUACAAAGGGUUGCAAUCCCGCGAGGGGGCGCCAAUCUCAUAAAGCCGGUCUCAGUCCGGAUCGGAGUCUGCAACUCGACUCCGUGAAGUCGGAAUCGCUAGUAAUCGUGCAUCAGAAUGGCACGGUGAAUACGUUCCCGGGCCUUGUACACACCGCCCGUCACACCAUGGGAGUGGACUGCACCAGAAGUGGUUAGCUUAACCCUCGGGGAGCGA
RNAcentral lists this ribosomal RNA (1403 nucleotides) under Chromohalobacter sp. Sa11-2I. Its description in RNAcentral is "16S ribosomal RNA". It matches the Rfam family "Bacterial small subunit ribosomal RNA". The record is from RNAcentral. Lineage: Bacteria; Pseudomonadati; Pseudomonadota; Gammaproteobacteria; Oceanospirillales; Halomonadaceae.